Molecule: long non-coding RNA, 13341 nt
Organism: Gasterosteus aculeatus aculeatus (three-spined stickleback)
Lineage: Eukaryota; Metazoa; Chordata; Actinopteri; Perciformes; Gasterosteidae
Source: Ensembl
CUCACCUGUGUGGACUAAGUUAAGCAAACUAAAGUGGGCUAUGUUUUUUUUUAAAUUAAAGGGCACCUAACCGCCUCAUCCAGCGGCUUUAAUUAGUCCCGAUCGCCGUUAAACUUGGCACAUAGUGGGACUCCAGCACCGCCCAGUUCACCCAGCUUCUGCUGCUCCCUCUGAAGCGUGUGUGUGCUGUGACUUCUCCUUCUGUUUGGUAGUGGAAGCUUCCAUUUUGAGAGAGAAAAGGGGGUGUAUCCCCCCCCCCCCCUCACACCAGAGAGGGGAAAAGUCUGCAGAGUUUUGUGCAGGAGGAGGAGGAGGGGGGAUGGGCCCCAUUCAUGCCGAACAUUACCAUUUUGAUUGCUUUGAUGCUGUUUUUGGAUGUGGGGGGGUCGGCAGUGAAAAGAGAGACACAGAAAGCCCAGUCAGCACCGCUGCACACAGCCAGGUUUUUAAUCACCACGCUGAUUAAUUCUUCUCUUCUAGCUGCCAAACGUGACCUUUUAUUACUUUUUCCUUCUGCACGCACACAUGAACCCGAAUCCUCCUCGUCCGCAACGGAAUAAUAAACUGGAAUGUUUGGAUGUGGUUACUAGCGGCGUGGAGAGCGGGUGGAGGCCUGGAGGUCAUCUCAUGGUCACGGGCUUCAUGUGAGGUUCAGCUCUCACAUGGGUGCAUGUUGUGAAGGAGAACAAGUGGUUUCAUAACACCAGCCCACAGUUUAUCACCAGAGGAGGAGUAGAGGGAUGGAGAUUGGAGGAAUCAAUGGGGGGGGCUCAUGUUCAGUGUGGAGGUCUCUCCUUUAGCCUCCUCCUGAGAGAGAGAGAACUUCAUUUAGUAGAUGUUUCAUAGGAUUAGGUUACUGGAAAACUGUUUUUGAUUUAGUCUUUAGACGAAAAAUGCAUAUUAGUUUUAGUCAGAUUUAGUCAUUUUAAUCCUUCUUAGUUUUAGUCAACGGAAACUAGACUAAAAUGUAAUUAGUUUUAUUCUAGUUUUAGUCACAUUUAACAGCCAUAUUAAACUCUUCCCUUCUCAGGCCCAGAGACCCUGUGUUGUGUCUACAGCUGCAUAAUAGUCCAGCUUGCAGUACUUGGUUGUCCAUUAGAUGUCCCUCCUAGGACAGGUCUAUAGAUGUCCCUCCUAUAGGACAGGUCUAUAGAUGUCCCUCCUAUAGGACAGGUCUAAUAGGACAGGUCUAUAGAUGUCCCUCCUAGGACAGGUCUAUAGAUGUCCCUCCUAGGACAGGUCUAUAGAUGUCCCUCCUAUAGGACAGGUCUAUAGAUGUCCCUCCUAUAGGACAGGUCUAAUAGGACAGGUCUAUAGAUGUCCCUCCUAGGACAGGCCUAUAGAUGUCCCUCCUAUAGGACAGGCCUAUAGAUGUCCCUCCUAUAGGACAGGCCUAUAGAUGUCCCUCCUAUAGGACAGGUCUAUAGAUGUCCCUCCUAGGACAGGUCUAUAGCAGGUCGGCAAACGUUUUGACUCGCGGUCACAGUAGGUUUGUAAAAUGUGACGGAGGAAGAACAAAUGGUUGAAGUGUUUGUGUGAGCGAAUAUAAAUGACGUGUGAAACAUCAUCACAUGAAAGGAUUUGGAUUUUAACAAAUAGCAAAGCAUUUAUUUGCAAGGCAAUUUAACAAAUUGUCAAAGGUGUAACAACUUCAUGAGGACCAGGGACCUAAACGCAACACUUUGUUGUCUUUGUCUGUUUACUUGAGUGCUUUUGACACUUCAUGCUCCUUUAUUGUUUCCACUGUCCCAACUAAAGAGACCUUAACGUCCUACAAUCAAUGCAAUACAUUAUGUUCUUGGCUUCAGAACCUGCAAUAAGUUUAUUACGUUAGACGUGUUUGUGACGGAGCGUCUCAUCCAGCGAGGAAACGCUGCCUGCCGUCGCCAGAGAACAGAGCAGAAAGGUCCCACAGUCUUUAAACGCGUCUUCAUGUUUCUGUGAAGCAGCGCGGCUUCAGCCCGCUAACAGUCAGCUAACAGUCAGCUAACCAGAGACAGCUAACAGGCAGCUAACCCGAGACAGCUGAGCUAAACUAACGAAGCCACGUUCAAACUAUAAAAUAGUCGUCGCGGUCCGUAAUCGGUGCACCGCUGCACCGAUACGAGCGUUCUGGGUUGGUGGAUGACGUCAUCAUGACGCGUUAAUAACCGCCGUACUUUGUCUGUCGGUUGUCUGUCAGCUGCGUGCGAAUUUAGGGGGGAAAAGUAUUGUGACUUCGUCAACCACCAACAUGUUCGUCUCGUCUUAGUCAAGGAAAAAGGUCAUUAAGCAACAUUUUUCGUCGACGAAAUGAACGCUGGCGUGAUGGAGGCUGAAUUUGCUCGCCGCGCACUCACAGGUCUGAUUAAGAAGAACUACUUUUCUUUAAAAGAACAUUUGAUUCUUCCUGCACACGCAACAUCCUUCAAGGAGAGAAUCAAAACAUUCUACGGCAACUGGACCGGGUCCAAAAGGCUACAAUGGUACAAAUACAAAUACUUCCAAACGGUACUUGAGUUUACAUUUGAGCCAAAUUAAGUAUUUUUAACUGGAUGACGUAAUAUUAUGGAUUAUAUGAGCAUGACGGGAUCGAUGAACAUAGUAUGUAUUAUAAUACUUGUUACUCUUUUGUACUGGUAUUUAGUUUAAAUGCAGUAGUUGUACUAGUAGAUACAAGUAUAGUAGUAUUUGUAGAGAGUGCGGUUUGUGACCCCGAGACGACGAAUGUGAAACACUCUUCGGUCCAAGCAGCUGUCAUUACCACGGCAACCAGAGGUUCCAAACAAUCACCAUGGAGACGCUGUCAGAGAAAAGUCUCAUUCAAGUGGCAGGUCAACGGGAAGAAAGGGAUAUUGUCUGAGAUUAAAAUGCUCCGUUUACUUGAAUUACGUUUCGUAUGCUUUCCAAAUGAAAUGCUAUUUACUAGAAUACACGGUUAUUUUCUCUCAGAUUAAAGUAGCGAGUUUAAAGAAAACAAUCAUGGAUCAUUUGCAAUAAAAGAGCAAGAAUGAGGACAAAUUACAAAUUUAAGUUAAUUUACAAGAGAAAAGCUCAAAUAUUCUCUGAAAGUAAACUAUUUUAAAGGUAAAUUGAAAAGAUAUUUUCCAUAAAUUCAAAUCAACAUGUGUAGAUGCUUUUAUUAUGGCGGUCGAACAGGGUUGUUAGAACGUGUUGCUAGGAUACGAGGGUGAGGAAAUGUGAGGGAGUUCAUAGAGGGUGAGGCAGCGAGAGACGUCUCACAUUCACCUCCACAAGAUGCUCCACCAACACCAGAGCCUCCAGGUGGCCCCGUGAGCCCAAAACUACAGCGCUCACUUCAGCCACAGCAGUCAGAGUUCCCCUGACCAAUGGUCCUUGAACACAUCAUGCGUAAGUCAGAUUCUGUUAAAAACAUUACAGUCCAAACUUUGUGAAAGUGCAUCAUUUAUUCAUAUGAGAUCAACCGUCAUGUGACCAGAAGUCAGAGAAACUGACUGAACACAACAACUAACAACAACUAACAUGUUGGUGGUUCUUGUGCACCGACUACGGACCGCAACGACUAUUUUACGCUUCGGCGAGUUUGAACGUGGCUUCGUUAGUUUAGCUCAGCUGUCUCGGGUUAGCUGCUUGUUAGCAGGCUGAAGCCGCGCUGCUUCACAGAAACAUGAAGACACGUUUAAAGACCGUCAGACCUUUCUGCUCUGUUCUCUGGCGACGGCAGGCAGCGUUUCCUCGCUGGAUGAGACGCUCCGUCACAAACGCGUCUAACGUAAUAAAGUCAUUGCAGGUUUUGAAGCCUCACGAAUUUCAACUAUAGUUCCCGCCUGUUCAAGACUGUUAAACUGUCUCGUUCGUUCGUUACUAAGCAACAGACGCGUGUGAAAUAAUGUAUUGCAACGAUUGUAGGACGUUAAGGGGUCUCUUUUGUUGGGACGAGCAACUUCACAGUGGAAACCAUAAGGAGGGACAUCUAAUGGACAACCAAGUACUGCAAGCUAGACUAUUAGGCAGUUGUAGACACAACACAGGGGGUCCCUGGGCCUGAGAAGGGAAGAAAAGGAGUUUAAUGUGGCUGUUAUGGCGCGUUUCCACCGAGCGGUGCGGGUCGGGUCGGGUCCCUUUUAUUUGUGUCUCCACUCCCAAAAUUUGAGAAUGGUACCAACAAUCCGAACCGUACCACCUUUUGGGUUCCCUUCCGUUGGGGCACCUGGCACAGCUGUUUGGUACUAAGGGGCGGAGCUAGACUCACUGCAGAGCGUUGAUUGGUUGAAAGAGUGUCGUCAUUUGCGCUGUGUUUUUCCUUGCAGCCUUUGCUCAAACAAAGAUGGUCGUCUCCUUGUGACAAACAGCCACAUGUGGAGAAGCAGGAACAGGAUCGGCUGCACGUCCUCCGUUGUUGUUUGCGGUUAGCUUUCAGUUUCAAAAAAGUCAAACACUUUGAAUCCGUAGAUUACUGCCUUAAUGGUCUUAUUGCUGCUAUUUGAUGACGAAUGCAUACACACUAAGCCAAAUUAAGUAUAUCUAUUAUUUUUAACAAAGGUUAAAUGUUAUUUCACAAUUUUCAAACUAUGUCCCCAAUUUCUUAUGAAAUGACCUUGGUUUUCAGUCAUUGGGGGCUGAAUUCCUACCCUGGUCAUGGUAGUACAGUGUACACGGGGCUGUGUAUUUGUACCUGGUAUGGUACCUGCUGAGCCCUGCCUGGAUCUCCACGUCUCCCUUUUACUGAGUGGCCUUCUUCACGUUGUUGUUCAUGAAACUCUGUUUGCUGAGUAUCGUUGAGAAGAAUCCAUAUAACGAAGGAGAAAGCAGCCGUGGGUUUGGUCCUGUUGUUGUUGUUUGGUUCAACUGAGUGGUGACUAAACAGGAAGUCAGGGAGAAGAUGUCCUCCAGUGAUGCUGGACAGCUCCUCCCCAGAAUGCUGCGCUCUGAUUGGCCGACACCUCUGCUGAACGGCUACUCAAGGAGAAGCUAAAGUGUGCUGGCGUUCAGUGGAGGAGCCGCUGUGCGUCUCAGGCUGGAUUUGAAUUGUCCAAUUUGCUUAGCAAGCUUCCUACCUGACGCUAAGGAAAGGAGCUCCAAUACUUAAAUAGUGACGUAUCAUCGGUUCGUCCACAAUAAAUAAUGAUCAUGAUGUGGACACGCAGAUCAUGUGAGUAACCGUUAGCAUCACUCAUUUACAUUAAUAAAGCUUUUCUUUGGACCUGGUAACACAUGAAGGCAUCUGAGAUGCUUCUUUGUAGCCGCUGCAGACUGACGUCACCAACAUGCGUCUCCGUCCGUCACGACUACGCAGCUCAGUGGAAGAGGAGUCCAUUCCCUGAACACCGCGUUGUCUUUUCCUAACUCAACCGUCCCAACCACCUUCCCUUGACCCUGUGGCGUUUUCUACAGAGGUCAAGGAUUAGUGGUUACAAAUAGACGUGAGGAGGUCGCAUAUGAACCCAACCACACACUUCCUGUCCCUGUGUUGACCUCCUGAACAUCAGAACACUUCCCAGGUUUCUCUCUCAGGUCCUCCUCCUCUUUCCUGUUGCUCAUGAUGCCCCGCCCCUCUCAUUUGAUGCCCCGCCCCCCACGCAACAUCCGGGUCAAAAGUUUGGAUGUGGAAAAGAAAAAAGCUAUGAAAGUCGAACAGAUUUAAAACUGAAAAUAUAAAAUCUGCAACUGAACAAUAUAAUACAGCAAAUAAUUAAAAAAAAUGUUUCCAUGGCGAUGGAUUUAGUCUCUUGAGUGUUUGGUCACUGAGUUUUGUUCAGGCUGAGACGUACCGGUGACUCCUCAGAGCUGUGUGUGUGUGUGUGUGUGUGUGUAAGGCGCUAACAAUGGACUCAGCCAGCUCUACACACAGCAGCAGAAAGAGGUCAACAAAGAGUGCGAGCCCUCUCAGGGCCGCUCUGAUUGGUCUCCUGCUGUCCAACGCCAGCCUCUGAUUGGACGCUGACACUCAAACACGUGAAACGCUGCAGCAUUUUCUUCCUUUUUCCUCGUUGACCCGGCUUCACGUGGUCAGAACAGAACGCCGUGUCCCGUCGGAGCUUCAAGGCGCUUCAUUCAAAUGAGAGCGGUGUGUGGGAGGGGCCUCUGUUUCUGGCCCUCAUUUGCAUACUUCUUCUAGGCCAACAUCCCACAAUGCCCUGUUUUCUUUUUUUGAAUGCAUUAUUGAGGGUUCCUUAAAGAAGGAAGAGGCCUCAGACUUCAGAGAGCUCUUUGAAAAAGGUGUCAGUUGGUUUGUAGCUCCAUGUUUUUCAACCAGAGAAAACUUACAACACAAUAAUAAUAUUUCAGAGCAAUCAUUAACGUCAAACAAACCUUCUGCUCUCAUGAUUGCUACUCGUGCGAAUCUGGCGACAGUUUUUAUUGAGAAAGGGAUCGUGCUGCUUUUGGUUUAAAGGAGUAAAAAGUGUUGAUUCUGACUAGAGUCUUCGUGUUGUUUUAUGAGUAUAUUAUUAACAGAUUCCUUUCUAUGAUCCCUGGCAAUACAGAAUAUUCACAUCCAAUAAUUAUAUUGGGUCUUCAGGUGCUACCAGUUCGACUAGCAUCGCCCCGUGACCUCUGUGGAAGGUCGCGGGGGUCAUACAGGUCGUUACACCGCUGAUGGUAAAUGUCAGUGACCGUGGUGAGGGAGACAAAUAACAGACGAUGAAGGUUGAUGCUCGGAGGAAUGUUUGAUCCACUCACAUCUACAUGAAUACGUUAAAGGUCUGAAUGUGGAAAGAAUUUAAAGACGAUGAUGUUCCUCAAAGAGAAGUUAGUAACAUUUAAAGAUUCUAUUAGCAGGUCAAUCUAAAAGCAAAAACAAGAUGUUUAAUAGAAACGCCGCCAGACCGCCAACUUUCGUCUACUUCAAAGCGUCUUUGAAGGAGGCAAACUGACUUCUGAUCUCUUUUAAUACACCUUCAAGUUCUCCUAUUCCACUAAAUAUCUCCUCACAUGAUGAAGCUGAUAAACAAGGUGACGUCUUUAACUUUCAUCACAUACAACAGGGAACAGAUGUUUACACUCAACCGUGUGGUUGUUAGAAUAGUUGCAUCUAUGUCAGUCGUGUUCCUUUAUUUGAAAUCAAGCAGAUCACAUGAAGGAGGCUCCUCCUCUCCGGCGUCUCGUUAGAGAGACAAAGUACCAGGUGGUCAGACCGGGACGUCCACCUUCCCCCAAACAAUGGCUGCUUCCUGUUCCUCCUUUUAACAUGCGUGUGUAUAUUCACGUUUUGCGCCUCCGUCCUCCGGUUCCUCUCACAAGGGAAAGAAAAAAAACAGAACUCGCCCCAUGGUCUCCAUGGUAACCAACAGUGCCUCUCUUUGAAUAUUCCCACUCAGGUGCUUUAGUCCUUGAACCCAGCGCGACUGCUUCAUGCUCCGCCUUUCUGUGCGGGAGGUUUGUUUUUGAGUUUACUGGGUCCCUGAAGGGGCAUCGGGAGCGUGACGUGUGAUGGAGUUCAUGCUUCUGUUGCCAUCUGUUUCUUUAAGUUAUUGACUAAAAUCUGAAACCAUAUUUAAUGGAAGGAAUCUGCUUGAGAGAAUAAUGUUAGUGUGUCGAAGUGGUAUAAAAGUCUCCUUAGGGGGAGGAGCCAGUUCUCUGCUGAUAGUCACAUGGUCCUGGACCACUUUAAUGUUGACAAAUGAGAGGGGAGGCGACCAGCAGCUGAAGCUUCGGGGGGGGUCCUCGCAACAUGUUAAUGUCAGUGUGGAACACAAACAUUUUAACUGUUGUGAUGGCCCACGUGUCUGUGGUGCUGGUCCACGUGGUCCACGUGUCUGUGGUGAUGAUCCACGUGUCUGUUGUCCUGGUGUCUGUGGUGAUGGUCCCACGUGUCUGUGGUGCUGGUCCACGUGUCUGUUGUCCUGGUGUCUGUGGUGAUGGUCCCACGUGUCUGUGGUGCUGGUCCACGUGGUCCACGUGUCUGUGGUGCUGGUCCACGUGUCUGUUGUCCUGGUGUCUGUGGUGAUGGUCCCACGUGUCUGUGGUGCUGGUCCACGUGGUCCACGUGUCUGUGGUGCUGGUCCACGUGGUCCACGUGUCUGUGGUGCUGGUCCACGUGGUCCACGUGUCUGUGGUGACGGUCCACGUGUCUGUUGUCCUGGUGUCUGUGGUGAUGGUCCCACGUGUCUGUGGUGCUGGUCCAAGUGAAGCCUCGGACUCUGGCUCUCAAUCCUCCGUCAGAAGUGAUCACUGUGCUUAAUGAAAACUAAUGACGUUUGUUCUUCUUCGUUGGUGCUCCGUAGCAUUAAAUUCCUGGGCACAGUGUGUUCUGCCCCUCGGAGGAAUAAGAACAACAACAAACAAAAUAGAACAAUUCAUGACUGGUUUCCGUAGCAACGUGCCAAAUAUAACGAUCUGCUGGCAUGAGGGUGAACUCUCCUCAUCGACACAUGGCCAUUUUUAUUAUGGCUGGUUUCCACGGUGACCUUAGCCAAUGGGAACAAAGCAGAGCCAGCAGCUGGACGUUUAAUCUCACACAGAAACCGGUUGCAUAUAUUGGUCGUCCAUAAAGCUGUUCUUGGUUAGUAGUUAAGCCAACAUUUCCCAUGAUGCAGCUUGAUAGCGUCUCUUGGUUAGAGCCUUCCUGCUAGGUAAACUUCUCAAGAAUGGUAUUAGCUAAAUAAAGUACUUAAUGUAUUUUCACAAAAAUGAAUCAAUUGAACAGCUCGCUUACUAGUGACCUGUCAAUCAGCAUGUAGCCCUAAAACAUCCCCUCUUUAUGGUCUGUUUGACUCCAAAUAGACCAUAAUGUACUAAAUGAACAUCAUGUUGUGUUGAAGAAGACUUUAAACUAGAGACUGAGACCAUAAACUCAUGUUUACAAUGUUUACUGAGGGAAUAAAUCAAGAGAAAAGUAGAGUCAUUUCCUCAUAGACGUCUAUGGGAGCAGAGGAGUCGCCCCCUGCUGGUCACUACAGAGAAGUAGAGUCAUUUCCUCAUAGACGUCUAUGGGAGCAGAGGAGUCGCCCCCUGCUGGUCACUACAGAGAAGUAGAGUCAUUUCCUCAUAGACGUCUAUGGGAGCAGAGGAGUCGCCCCCUGCUGGUCAGGAGAGAGAAGUAGAGUCAUUUCCUCAUAGACGUCUAUGGGAGCAGAGGAGUCGCCCCCUGCUGGUCACUACGGAGGAUGCAGCUUUAACUCGUGACUUCACUUUGGUCACUUUAGUGUUUUCCCUCACAAAUAUCUUACUGAGAAGAGGGUUGUUUUGACCUCAUUCAGGCUAAAUAAUCAAAGAUCGUAGUAUUGAUCACCCAAGGCCGAUGCUGCAGAUUUUAUUACUUAGCACACAUUUUACUGUGUGUACAAUAAGUAAUCAGUUAUCAUCCAUAAUACAUCAAUAAAGCCGUAAAUGGUGUCUUGGUAGCAGAAGUCAGAGCAGCUGUUGGUGGAGAACUCGCUCAGUUUGAAAACCCACUCUGCUGGAAACAAUGUCACUUUUCUCAUUAGACGAACCGCUGUGAGCGGAGCUUCUUUUACUUAACAUGUAGCAACAGAAUCCUCACGCUGAGAGGAGCAGCGAGAGAGCUACACCUUUUAACUGAACUCCACCAUGUCGGAGCAUGUUUGGGCCUCACGCCGCCAUCAACUGCUGGCAGACAGACGCCCCCUGGGGCUCCUCCCCCUCACACCUCCUCCUGAGCCAUGUGAUUGGCUUCUCCAACCCGGCGGCUCGAGUCCUAAACUCUUUCCCUCGGACACAAAUCACACAAGAUAUCCUGUGACCUAAAGAAGCUGUACAUUCAGUGUCCUCAGAGGAUAAACCUUGCUGUGUCGUCGUAUUGUAACUUCACUAUUUCUGUAUUUAUUGAUGGUUUCUGCGACUUUUUAAACGUGACAAAUAAACAAAUAAAUAAAUAAAUACGUCGCUGGAUGUGCUGAAGAACAAACAAUAAAUCCUGAGUCGUCUGGGCUCUUAUAAAUACGGGUUCCAAAGGGUUCUACCAGAACCAUUUGCUGGUAUGGAACAUCUUUCUGUUUUUAAAGAGUGCCAUUAAGAACCUCUGUGGAGUUCUAGAUGAAACCUGGAACGAAAAAGGGUCCUGGGUAGAGCUCCUUGGGUGGGUUCUAAAUUAACCCUAACCGCAUGGAUCGUUCAAGGGUUCUCCGUAGAACCCUUAGGACGGUUCUUGUAAGCACCCUUGGAAUGGGAAAAGAUGGUUUUGGAUGGGAACCAUUACGCUGUUGGUAGAACCCUCUUGAAAUGAUUCCAGUGAGUAUUGUUCCAAACAUCCGGAGGUUCUCCUCUGCUGGUGACUGGAGGGGGAGAACGUUCAGUCGUCCCACUAAUCUCUCCUAGAUUUCCCCCGUGAGUGGAAUGAAUCCUCCUCCGGUUAUCUGACUCUUUUCUGCAGUUAAACAGGAAGUUCUGAUAAAAGACAAGAACAGCAUUUCAAAAUAAGAUGGGAGUUUUAUUCUAUGAAACGUGUCUCAGUCCUUCCGAUGUUUCAGCUUCAAUCUGAACAGUUUCCUGUUUCUCCUUUUUCAGAAUCAGACGUUGUGUAAAGGACUCAAUGAACUUCAGAACGGACAGGUGAGGAAAUAUUUCAUAUUUAAUAUGUACUACAACAUUGUAGAAAGUACCACCAUGUUUUUCUGUAGCUGGGCCGUCUUUUACUUACUUACUUUAAAAUGUACUUCCUGCUUGAUAUCUGGUGUUGAAUGAUUCACCAGUGGAAUGAUCAUUCAGUAAUAACAGUAUACAAACUUCAUGUCUCAUCACAUUGACUUUGUGUCGAGUAACUUCCUUUUACAUUAUUACAUCACAUGUCAUUUAUGACGCUUUUAUCCAAAGCAACUUACAAUAAGUUCAUUCAACCAUAAGGACUCAGAAGUUAGUUAGUGUGUUAGUGGAGGUAGAGUCUGAAGAGGUGUGUCUUUAGUCUGAAGAUGUGAAGGCUCUCUGUGGUCCUGAUGUCUUCAGAGACCUCCUUCCACCAUUUACUUCCUCUCCAUUAACUUCCUCUCAAAUUCCAGCUCAUAAUAGAAAGACUGCAGGUUAGAAGGAAGCGUUGCUUUGAUUGAUCUCGUUAGUCUAAAGUCCUUUUAUGAGCUGCUUCCUGUCGCACUCAACCACAGCAAGUGAAUGUUGUAGCGUUACCGUGGCAACACGGCGGCUUGAGACUCCGUGUCAGUACUGACCACCAGAUAUAUCCAGGAAGAUCAGCUGAUCAGUCACGUGACUUCUAAUCAAAGUGCUUUUGAUCUGGGUGCGUGAAGGUCCAGCAUGUCGCAGACUACACCGAUUAAACGGACCCGUGGUUGCUUGUUACCGGUGUCUGGACGCAGCGCGUCAUUGAGUCUGAGAGGGACUAGUUUGUGCAAAAGUCAGGGUCACUUUGUGACGACUCACCUGAGAGCAUGAAUCCGUCUGCUGUCCUUGGUAGAGACAGGAAGUGAUGUCACAACGUCCUCUGUCGCUGGGGCCAUGGCUGUGUCUCCGUCGCUAGGCUGCAUCCUUGAGGACGCAUUGGUCGAGCGCAUACGUCACUUCCGCUGCGACUCGUCUGUCCCAGGGGCGCAGUCCUCCAGGAGCCGGUUUGGAGGACACAUCUGAGCUGUCCUUUGCGUCCCAGCAUAUCCCAGCAUGCAGUGCGGGCCGACCAAGCGGAAGAGUUACUUUUAAAUGUAACGUUAAGUAAAAGAAUUCACUUGAAUAUCUACAGAUAGAAAUGUUAUAAUAUAGAACAUCACAUCUUCGUUAAUGAAGUCACGUGACGUUAACUCCGUUAUCCCCCCGUACAGCCCCUGAGCCACCCGGACCCCCCCAGGUCCAUGUACUGUUCCUCUGAACAUCAAUGUGCUACACACAUUUAUAACAAACGCACAACGAGCAGCUCACGUUACCGGCAGCUCGUCUGUACUUAUUAAAGUUAUGAACCUGAAAUAUCACUUUAAGUCAGUGACGUUACAGAAUAAAUACACAAAGAAACUGAACUUUGCUCCUUUUGUCGCGUGAUUAUGAACUAACUUUACAUUUAGUUGUGUUCUUCUCUCAGCCUGAAAUGUACUCUGCUCCGGAGGAGAAGCUUUUCUUCCUAAAUUAAAUGAAAUAAGAUUAUUUUUUUCUGUUACUUUGUCAUUUGUUUGGCUUUUAAGGCUUUUACUGUCCAGCGCAGCAGGUUGCUAGGCAACAGGAGCAGUGGAGGUAAACCUGAUGAGGCAAGCAGGAAGUCCCCCCGUAGGACAGACCGUCCCAUUCGAGAGGCCGCUUAGUUCAGCCUGUGUGGUAGUUGGAGGACCAGCCCAAGUAGACCAGAAGGCUGCUGAAGGCUGCAGGCUACAAGGAUGCUCAUGUUACCUGUCGCUUGGAGGCUCCUCCCACCUGGUUCCCCGCUGAGCCUUCAGCUGCUUUGCCUGCUUCUGUGUCACGUGACAUCACAUGGCCCCUCCCCCCCACAGAGGAGAGUUUGGGAUGUCUCCUCCCGGUCUCGGGGCAGAGAGAUGGGGGAGGGUAGUGAGGACAAAGGCCCUCCCUUUGUCCCCUCUGAUCCCCCUGGGCCCCCGCAGGAAGUUCUCCAAUGUCUUAAUCUCCUGCAGCAGAAAGAAUCAGCCAGUUAAAGAGUCAACGUGUUCUUAUUUGAUUUAUUCUGGAAACUAAACUUUAACUGCUUGUUUUUACACACUUUAUUACGUUAAGUGUAAUUUCAUAUUAACAAAGUUACUUGGUGACUUUAAGUGAAUUCUGGGGGCUUUGAAGAAACACAUUAAGAGGAAUGUGAGGGGAACGGGUGUAUUUAGCAUAGAGCAGUAUUUGUAUUGACCAAGGAAUGCGGGGGGGAUGGGUGAGUAGAUGGAGGGAUGAGUAGAUGGAGGGAUGGAUGGGUGAGUAGAUGGAGGGAUGGAUGGGUGAGUAGAUGGAGGGAUGAGUAGAUGGAGGGAUGGAUGGGUGAGUAGAUGGAGGGAUGGAUGGGUGAGUAGAUGGAGGGAUGACUGCAGGUGUUCCUGGUAACAGAACCUCUAUUGGAACAGACGCUGUGUUUCCAGGUGGUCGCUGCCUGAUCCUCCACAUCUGAGGGGGGGUCUUGGUCCCUGAUGCCCAUUGCCAGACUGUGGGCGGGGGGCCAGACUGUAGUGUGGCCCUGGUGAUGAGCUGUCCCACUGCUGGGAGGCAUUUACUGAGAUGCUGGAGCAGUUUGUGGUUCCACAAUGUUUCUGCUUCCUGUUUGUGUUGCAGAUCUAAUUUAAAUAUCGCUGACUAACAGACCUGUGGACAUUAAAGAGUUUCUUCUCUUCUUUUGUUGCUAUGAUUCAAAGACCAGUUCUAGAUAUUAUUAUUAUACGUCACGGUGGAUGCAGGAGAGCUAGUAAAAGCACCUGUUUAGGAUUCUGUCUGACUCCUCACUGUUGUGCAGCGUCACGGGUCUCUGCGAUGCUCUUAACUCAACCGCCGCUCUGCUCC